Long non-coding RNA from Acanthaster planci (crown-of-thorns starfish), 286 nucleotides. Lineage: Eukaryota; Metazoa; Echinodermata; Asteroidea; Valvatida; Acanthasteridae. The record is from RefSeq and is a predicted model, not a curated record.
GAGAUCAACGUCAAGUUUGGAAGAAGGAACAGAAGGAAAUGACAGCCAUGUUUUGUGGUGCACUGAACCCAAAUCGUGUGACAGACGAUGUGAUAUGAGUGACAGAAUUCUUCUUCAGGGCAGAGAUGAAACCAAAUGUUGGCUCAUCGAAACCAGACGGAAAACCACAUGGACAGUUUGGACAUCGUAUUUACUGACAUCACCGGUUGCAUGUCCUGGUGGAAUUCUCAAAGUUUUACACACUGAACAAAUCAGGAUUGAACCGACCCAAAGUGAGAAUAUUGUU